This 494-nucleotide ribosomal RNA is filed under the name uncultured bacterium. RNAcentral's name for it is "partial 16S ribosomal RNA". It matches the Rfam family "Bacterial small subunit ribosomal RNA", at positions 28 to 507 of the family's 1533-position model. The record is from RNAcentral.
GACGAACGCUGGCGGCGUGCUUAACACAUGCAAGUCGAACGGUGAAGCGCCUUCCUUUUUGGUGGGUGUGGAUGAGUGGCGAACGGGUGAGUAACACGUGAGUAACCUGCCCCCUUCUUCUGGAUAACCGCAUGAAAGUGUGGCUAAUACGGGAUAUUCUGGGUCUGUCGCAUGAUGGGUCUGGGAAAGAUAUUGUUUCGGUGGGGGAUGGGCUCGCGGCCUAUCAGCUUGUUGGUGGGGUGAUGGCCUACCAAGGCGGUGACGGGUAGCCGGCCUGAGAGGGUGGACGGUCACACUGGGACUGAGACACGGCCCAGACUCCUACGGGAGGCAGCAGUGGGGAAUAUUGCACAAUGGGCGCAAGCCUGAUGCAGCGACGCCGCGUGAGGGAUGGAGGCCUUCGGGUUGAGAACCUCUUUCGCCAGUGAAGCAGGCCUGCCUCGUUUGUGGGUGGGUUGACGGUAGCUGGAGAAGAAGCGCCGGCUAACUACGUG